UACGUAGGGUGCGAGCGUUGCCCGGAUUUAUUGGGCGUAAAGGGCGCGUAGGCGGCCACGCACGUCCGUUGUGAAAUCGCCCGGCUCAACUGGGCGGGGUCGGCGGAUACGGCGUGGCUGGAGCAAGCUAGGGGGCAAUGGAAUUCCCGGUGUAGUGGUGGAAUGCGUAGAUAUCGGGAGGAACACCCGUGGCGAAAGCGGCUCUCUGGAACGGUACUGACGCUGAGACGCGAAAGCGUGGGGAGCGAACAGG
RNAcentral lists this ribosomal RNA (253 nucleotides) under uncultured bacterium. RNAcentral's name for it is "partial 16S ribosomal RNA". It matches the Rfam family "Bacterial small subunit ribosomal RNA", at positions 524 to 776 of the family's 1533-position model. The record is from RNAcentral.